This is a long non-coding RNA of Cyprinus carpio carpio, 881 nucleotides long. Lineage: Eukaryota; Metazoa; Chordata; Actinopteri; Cypriniformes; Cyprinidae. The record is from Ensembl.
GAUUGUUUGCAGAUAAUGCUGUUCUUCUUUUUCAGAAGUUUUUGGUGAGCCAACUCUCACAAACCUUCCUAAAAACUAAAAGAGCUAUUACUGAGUCUCGGCUAAUCUUGCCAUGGUCAGCUCUUCCCAGGUUCAUUUGUUUACUCAUCAAAUGCUCUGGUCUGAAUCUUACUUUAAAUUAACUUAAUUAUAUGUUUAAUGAGCAAUAUUAAUUGCACACAUAGUAAGAUUAUCUUGUUUCACAGAAGAGAAGGAAGACCAAGGAAAUUAUUUGCUCAGGAUGAGAAAUGAAGAUGGCCAUCUUGUGCUCAAACAAACAGAAGUCCUCUGAUGAUCUCAUCAGCCAAAUGAGGGGUUUUGACCAAGUGAUGCUCUUGAAAGGAGUGAAAGAAGAGGAUGUGGUAAAUUGUCUUAAAGCAGCUUGAAGAAUGGUCUGGGAUGUUAGGACUGAGAGAUCCUCUGACUGAGAGAAGCUACACCACAUCAGUGCUGGAUAUCAACCACAAACUGUUUCCAGACACGAGAGAAGAAGAUCAUGAUGGGGAGAUGAAACCAGUUUAGAUGUGAUGAUAAGGAAUCAUUAUUUUCUGAAACAGGAUCAAAUGUCUUAUAUGUAUCACAUGAUCUGUAUCACAGUUGACUGGAUGGGACUGUGUGACUCUUUAAGUACAUUUCAUCACUCAUCUGUGUGAACUGAUUAAUAUAUGAGGUUAAUGUAUUUUUGAUUAUGAAUAAUUAUUUUCCUUGAAUCUUAUUUGUCUUGAUGCUACUUUAUCAUCUGUAUAGUCUAUGCUUCAAUAAAAUGAAAAUUGUGAAUAUUGUGUUCUGAAGAUUCUUGGUAAACACAUCAUUUUACUAGGUAGGCUCAUAUGUGUUUAUUU